UGCAAUCAAUACUUAAGAUUAGUUAUAACCACCUCUCGUCUGAUUUAAAGCAGUGUUUUACAUAUUGUGCUUUAUUCCCUAAAGAUUAUGAUAUUCAAAAGCAUGGAGUGAUAAAGUAUUGGGUCGCACAAGGUUUCAUUCAACCACAUAGUACAAAGGCAAUCGAAGAUGUUGGUGAUGAUUAUUUCAUGGAGUUACUAUGGAGGUCGUUCUUUCAAGAUAUAAAAAAUGAUGAAUUUGGAGAGAUUAAACAGUACAAGAUGCACGACUUCAUGCAUGAUCUUGCAAGUUCAAUAGUUGACAAAGAAUGUGUUCUUGCAAGUUUGGAUGUUGGGACUAUUGUAAAAAGAACUCGACAUGUGUUCAUUGAGUCAAGCUCAAAUAAAGUGUUGGAACUUCCGCAACUUUUAACAAAGGCAAAGAAUUUGAGAACAUUAUAUUAUCCUCCUAUUCGUCGUAACAAAACCCUUCACAUAAUCAUUUCUAUUCAUUUGCAAUUACGAAUAUUGGUUUUGAGGUACACAUGAAAGAAUUGCCCAAGUCUAUUGGCAAGUUGAAACAUUUGAGAUAUCUCGACCUUACUAAUAACAUGUGACAACUCUUCAAAAUUUGAAUAUAGGCUUAUGUCCAAAUUUAACGAUUCUACCGGAAUGGAUUGGCAAACUUACAUCACUUUCAUCAUUGUUUAUUUGGAAGUGUACAGAGAUAACUUCGCUGCCUGAAGGAAUUGGCCACCUCGUUUCACUUACACUUUUGGACGUUUCUUGGUGUUCUAAUUUAAAUUCGCUGCCGGAAGGGAUCCGCCAUCUCCACUCCUUGCAAGAGAUUUUGAUGCAUGGAUGCCCAAAAUUGAUAAAAGGGUGCAAGAAAGGAAAUGGAGAAGACUGGCCUAAAAUCGCCCAUGUCCCGAGCGUAUAUCCUCAGCCUUGACACUUGGAAGAUAACAGAAUAAUCAAUAAACCUUCAUCAGCCAGAAGGGAUGCAACCCAAGAAUUAUUUCUCAGCCUUCAUCUCUCUGAAAAUUUUGCUCAUUGAAUCAUUCAGUGGAGAAAAGAAGACCUACUAAGUAAGCCCUGAAGUAUAACAGACACAGGUGGAGGAAGGAAGGAAAGAAAAUGAUCCAAAAUAAUGUUGUUUGAACCCUUUUGAGUUGUCUCCUUUCCAUCGAGCUGGUAUAAGAUGAUAUUUGAAUGCCACUAUGAAGUGAGGUUUUUUUUUCUCUUUUUCUAUUUUCUCUCUUGUAAUAUUGUCAAAUUUGAAUGAUAUAUUUAUCUUGUUGUGUGUGCCUCUGAUUUGGACUAAAGAGGACUUUUGUAUACUUAAUAUUGUUGAUAGUGGAGAUUUUGACUACGGUCACGUGAUUUUUUACUCCUCAAA
Non-coding RNA from Momordica charantia (bitter melon), 1377 nucleotides. The record is from RefSeq and is a predicted model, not a curated record. Lineage: Eukaryota; Viridiplantae; Streptophyta; Magnoliopsida; Cucurbitales; Cucurbitaceae.